GGUGCGAUGUCCGAGUGGUUAAGGAGCUGGUUUCAGGCACCAGUCGUAAUUGGCCUGGGUUCGAUCCCCAGUCGCAUCA
Vanrija pseudolonga is the source of this 79-nucleotide non-coding RNA. NCBI's taxonomy places the organism in Eukaryota, Fungi, Basidiomycota, Tremellomycetes, Trichosporonales, Trichosporonaceae. The record is from the annotation of a RefSeq genome assembly.